Molecule: ribosomal RNA, 500 nt
Filed under: uncultured bacterium
Lineage: Bacteria
Description: partial 16S ribosomal RNA
Rfam family: Bacterial small subunit ribosomal RNA
Source: RNAcentral
AUUGAACGCUGGCGGCAGGCCUAACACAUGCAAGUCGAGCGGAUGAAGGGAGCUUGCUCCUGGAUUCCGCGGCGGACGGGUGAGUAAUGCCUAGGAAUCUGCCUGGUAGUGGGGGACAACGUUUCGAAAGGAACGCUAAUACCGCAUACGUCCUACGGGAGAAAGCAGGGGACCUUCGGGCCUUGCGCUAUCAGAUGAGCCUAGGUCGGAUUAGCUAGUUGGUGAGGUAAUGGCUCACCAAGGCGACGAUCCGUAACUGGUCUGAGAGGAUGAUCAGUCACACUGGAACUGAGACACGGUCCAGACUCCUACGGGAGGCAGCAGUGGGGAAUAUUGGACAAUGGGCGAAAGCCUGAUCCAGCCAUGCCGCGUGUGUGAAGAAGGUCUUCGGAUUGUAAAGCACUUUAAGUUGGGAGGAAGGGUUGUAGAUUAAUACUCUGCAAUUUUGACGUUACCGACAGAAUAAGCACCGGCUAACUAUGUGCCAGCCGCCGCGGUAA